GCCUCCGUAGCUCAGUGGAUAGAGCGUCCCUCUCCUAAAGGGCAGGCCGUGGGUUCGAUUCCCGCCGGGGGCA
This 73-nucleotide transfer RNA is filed under the name Microbacteriaceae bacterium. Its description in RNAcentral is "tRNA-Arg". It matches the Rfam family "tRNA". From Rfam's summary of the family: Transfer RNA (tRNA) molecules are approximately 80 nucleotides in length. Their secondary structure includes four short double-helical elements and three loops (D, anti-codon, and T loops). Lineage: Bacteria; Bacillati; Actinomycetota; Actinomycetes; Micrococcales; Microbacteriaceae. The record is from RNAcentral.